GCAAAACAGCUAGCCUUAAUAUUUAAUAAAAUAAUCAACCAUAAAUUACAAAACAAAAAAAUUAAAAAUAAAACAUUCUCCCACCUUAGUAUGGGCGACAGAAAAGGAUAUACUAGAGCCAUAGAAAAAGUACCGCAAGGGAAAGCUGAAAGAGAAAUGAAAAAACCCAUAAAAGCAUAAAAAAGCAGAGAUUAAUACUCGUACCUUUUGCAUCAUGAUUUAGCAAGCAAAACUCAGGCAAGAAGCACCAUAGUCUGAGACCCCGAAACUAGACGAGCUACUCCGAAGCAGUCUAAGAGGACUAACCCGUCUCUGUAGCAAAGAGUGGGAAGACUUCCGAGUAGAGGUGAAAAGCCUACCGAGCCUAGUUAUAGCUGGUUGCUUAAGAAAAGAAUAUGAGUUCAGCCUUAUAAGUUUCUCAAAAAAUCAAAAUAAAAGAAUAAAGUAACACAUAAGAGUUAGUCGAAGGGGGUACAGCUCCUUCGAAAAAGAACACAACCUUACCCAGGUAAAUAAGGAUUACACUAAAAAAGGACAUGACUUUCAACAGUGGGCCCGAAAGCAGCCACCUCUAAUAGAAAGCGUUAAAGCUCAAGAACAGCCACACCAGAAAUAAAAAUAAUCACUCCUAAUUUCCUAAUAAUAUUAAGCCGCCCUAUUUUUAUAUAGGAGAAAUUAUGCUAAAAUGAGUAAUAAGAGAAACUAGACCCUCUCCGGGCACACGUGUAAAUUAGAGCGGACAAACCACUGACAACUAACGGACCCAAAAAGAGGGUAAAACAAUAAAACUCAAUAAACAAGAAAAACCUAUUUAAACAACCGUUAACCCAACACAGGAGUGCCACUAAGGAAAGACUAAAAGGGGAAGAAGGAACUCGGCAAACACAAACCUCGCCUGUUUACCAAAAACAUCGCCUCCUGCAAAUAGAAUGUAUUGGAGGUCCUGCCUGCCCAGUGACAAUAGGUUCAACGGCCGCGGUAUUUUGACCGUGCAAAGGUAGCGUAAUCACCUGUCUUUUAAAUAAAGACCUGUAUGAAUGGCAAGACGAGGGUUUUACUGUCUCCUCCCCCCAGUCAAUGAAAUUGAUCUACCCGUGCAGAAGCGGGUAUAAAAACAUAAGACGAGAAGACCCUAUGGAGCUUUAGGCAUAUGUCAAAUAUGUAAAAAACCAAAUUUUCCAAAUAGGCCUAAAAAACGGGAAAAACAAGUAUUAAUGACUAAAUGCCUUCGGUUGGGGCGACCACGGGGAAGAAUAAAACCCCCACAUGGAAUGGGAAAAAUAACCCUAAGACAAGAAAAACACUUCUAAGCAACAAAAUUUUUGACCAAUUAACGACCCAGGGACACCAUCCCUGAGCAAUGAACCAAGUUACCCUAGGGAUAACAGCGCAAUCCUUUCCCAGAGCCCAUAUCAACGAAAGGGUUUACGACCUCGAUGUUGGAUCAGGGCAUCCUAACGGUGCAGCCGCUGUUAAGGGUUCGUUUGUUCAACGAUUAACAGCCCUACGUGAUCUGAGUUCAGACCGGAGCAAUCCAGGUCGGUUUCUAUCUAUGAAAGUGCCUUUUCCCAGUACGAAAGGGCCGGAGAAGGGGGGCCCAUUCUAAAAGCAAGCCCUACCACCCACUUUCUGAAAACAAAUAAAGAAAUAAGGGUGAACAUUUUAAAGCCAAAGAUUAUGGCAC
Molecule: ribosomal RNA, 1684 nt
Filed under: Conger japonicus
Lineage: Eukaryota; Metazoa; Chordata; Actinopteri; Anguilliformes; Congridae
Description: 16S ribosomal RNA
Rfam family: Bacterial large subunit ribosomal RNA
Source: RNAcentral